GUACCUUUUGUAUAAUGGGUCAGCGACUUAUAUUCUGUAGCAAGGUUAACCGAAUAGGGGAGCCGAAGGGAAACCGAGUCUUAACUGGGCGUUAAGUUGCAGGGUAUAGACCCGAAACCCGGUGAUCUAGCCAUGGGCAGGUUGAAGGUUGGGUAACACUAACUGGAGGACCGAACCGACUAAUGUUGAAAAAUUAGCGGAUGACUUGUGGCUGGGGGUGAAAGGCCAAUCAAACCGGGAGAUAGCUGGUUCUCCCCGAAAGCUAUUUAGGUAGCGCCUCGUGAAUUCAUCUCCGGGGGUAGAGCACUGUUUCGGCAAGGGGGUCAUCCCGACUUACCAACCCGAUGCAAACUGCGAAUACCGGAGAAUGUUAUCACGGGAGACACACGGCGGGUGCUAACGUCCGUCGUGAAGAGGGAAACAACCCAGACCGCCAGCUAAGGUCCCAAAGUCAUGGUUAAGUGGGAAACGAUGUGGGAAGGCCCAGACAGCCAGGAUGUUGGCUUAGAAGCAGCCAUCAUUUAAAGAAAGCGUAAUAGCUCACUGGUCGAGUCGGCCUGCGCGGAAGAUGUAACGGGGCUAAACCAUGCACCGAAGCUGCGGCAGCGACGCUGAUGCGUUGUUGGGUAGGGGAGCGUUCUGUAAGCCUGUGAAGGUGUGCUGUGAGGCAUGCUGGAGGUAUCAG
Molecule: ribosomal RNA, 685 nt
Filed under: Escherichia coli
Lineage: Bacteria; Pseudomonadati; Pseudomonadota; Gammaproteobacteria; Enterobacterales; Enterobacteriaceae
Description: partial 23S ribosomal RNA
Rfam family: Bacterial large subunit ribosomal RNA
Source: RNAcentral